CAAUAGAUCCACUUUAAUAUGCUAUAUACAUGCAAACUGUGUUUGUUACUAUUUAAUACAACACCCCCUUAUUAAUUAGAUAUCAAAGUACUUACUUUAUUCCAAUAGCGUUUGGCAUAUCCUGACUUAUUCUGUGGAACAACUCAUUGUCCCAGUAGAACGGGCUCUUUUCAGCCAAUAUGCCAUUGGUCAGCCAGUAGGAGUCUGCUAUUAUGUAAGUUCAGUGUCAAUAUGAUUUCAGCUAUAUAGGGGUAAAGUUCAAUUUUUUUAUUUCAAUACUGUGGGCUCUAGCUUGGCUUUAGCACAUACCUUUCUGGUAUAUACACUCUAAAUGGAACCGGCUGAAAACUAAAAAAUACAAAACGUUCCCAUACUCAAUUAUUUACUCAACUAAAAUUCCUCACCGGGGCAGACCAAGCUAAACCAAGAACGUUAUCUAAUUAUCUAAGAACGUAAUCUAACUCUUCUCCUGAUAACACUUAAACGGCACAUUGCCACUUCUACAUGUCCGCAAAACCGAAAAUAUCUUCUAUUCCAGAAACUAGUGGCACAAUGAUUUGAAAGCUGCCCGGUCUGCAUCGGAUACUUGGGACUCAAAAGGAAUUGCAUAUCCCUACAUUUUACUAUUUUCACAGCAAUGACGAAAUGUGUCCAACUGGGGAAAAAUAACACCAAAACACAUUCAAAACAAACCAAAUCCCUCUCGAAAGCACCAGACAUAUGCUCAGAAGAAGUCUCUUCAGCAAAGCCAAGUCCCACCACAUCUAACGCCUUAUUCACAACAGACCUCCCUAAUAACAACGCCGCUUCUAUAGCAGACAACAUAACCACCUCACUCUGGCCUAAAUUGUAGGCAAAGUUUGACAUCGUACAGGACACCAUAGGCGACCUUGUCAUAUAAAGUGGCUACUAACUCCUGUGGACUUGAUAGCCUUGAAAACAGGCA
Non-coding RNA from Pelobates cultripes (western spadefoot toad), 946 nucleotides. Lineage: Eukaryota; Metazoa; Chordata; Amphibia; Anura; Pelobatidae. The record is from the annotation of a GenBank genome assembly.